RNAcentral lists this long non-coding RNA (282 nucleotides) under Elaeis guineensis (African oil palm). RNAcentral's name for it is "long non-coding RNA (EGUI_LNC052904)". The record is from RNAcentral. Lineage: Eukaryota; Viridiplantae; Streptophyta; Magnoliopsida; Arecales; Arecaceae.
UGGUGUGGCUUUGGUGGAGGAUCGAUGGCUAUUAGAUAGUGGUACAAUAUAUUCUUGAGAAGGACAAUCGACAGUAGACUUAUGAAGAUGGCUACAGCACUACAUUGAAUUAGGAAGGACCCUAAUCAGUUUUAUGUAGAUCACCAUUGGAGGGCACAUGCUUAAGUGCCUCGAGGAUACCAGAUAUCCAGCUAUUUGAAUCUUUAUGUUUGGUAUAAUCUCUUACCUUAUUACAUGCUUGAGUUGUUUGAUUAUAAUCAUCAAGGUAAUCCUAGUGUUUGU